UUUUAUGGUUAUGUAUACCCUAAAGACACCAAAUCCCAUCUAUUUCUUGGAAACUGAGCAGGGCCAGCCCUGAUUAGUACUUAUAUGGGAGACCACCAAGGAAUGCCAGGUGCUGUAGGCU
Molecule: ribosomal RNA, 121 nt
Filed under: Anolis carolinensis (green anole)
Lineage: Eukaryota; Metazoa; Chordata; Lepidosauria; Squamata; Anolidae
Source: RNAcentral